This 438-nucleotide ribosomal RNA is filed under the name uncultured soil bacterium. Its description in RNAcentral is "bacterial SSU rRNA". It matches the Rfam family "Bacterial small subunit ribosomal RNA", at positions 26 to 524 of the family's 1533-position model. The record is from RNAcentral.
AGAACGAACGCUGGCGGCAGGCUUAACACAUGCAAGUCGAGCGCCCCGCAAGGGGAGCGGCAGACGGGUGAGUAACGCGUGGGAAUCUACCCAUCUCUACGGAACAACUCCGGGAAACUGGAGCUAAUACCGUAUACGUCCUUCGGGAGAAAGAUUUAUCGGAGAUGGAUGAGCCCGCGUUGGAUUAGCUAGUUGGUGGGGUAAUGGCCUACCAAGGCGACGAUCCAUAGCUGGUCUGAGAGGAUGAUCAGCCACACUGGGACUGAGACACGGCCCAGACUCUACGGGAGGCAGCAGUGGGAAUAUGGACAAUGGGCGAAAGCCUGAUCCAGCCAUGCCGCGUGAGUGAUGAAGGCCCUAGGUUGUAAGCUCUUCACCGGUGAAGAUAAUGACGGUAACGAGAAGAGCCCGGCUAACUUCGUGCCGAGCGAAGCCGAC